UAUAUGAAAUUUGGCCUGCCCAAUGAUUAUUUUAAUGGCCGCGGUAUACUGACCGUGCAAAGGUAGCAUAAUCAUUAGUUUAUUAAUUGUGGACUCGUAUGAAUGGUUGGACGAAAUAUUAACUGUCUCAUUUUAAUUUUUAGAAUUUAAUUUUUUAGUUAAAAAGCUUAAAUUUUUUUGUUGGACGAGAAGACCCUAUAGAUCUUUAUUAUUUUUAUUAAUAUUUGUUUUUGAUUAUUUAUUUAUAUUAAUAUUUAUUUUUUUGUUGGGGUGACAUUGAGAUAUAAUUAACUCUUUAUUUUUUUACUUAAUUAUUUUUAUAUAUUUGACCUUUUAUUAUUGUUUAUAAGAUUUAGAUACCUUAGGGAUAACAGCGUAAUGUUUUUUGAGAGUUCUUAUCGACAAGAAAGAUUGCGACCUCGAUGUUGGAUUAAGAUUAUAUUUGGGUGUAGAUGUUCAAAUAUUAGGUCUGUUCGACCUUUAAAUUCUUACGUGAUCUGA
Molecule: ribosomal RNA, 501 nt
Filed under: Spinonemia chilensis
Lineage: Eukaryota; Metazoa; Arthropoda; Insecta; Phasmatodea; Heteronemiidae
Description: partial 16S ribosomal RNA
Rfam family: Bacterial large subunit ribosomal RNA
Source: RNAcentral